GAUUGAUCAAGCCUUUGACACCCUAAUCUGUUUUUAAUGUUGUAAAUAUUAACUCAUUAACUGGGAAUGUGAAUGUGCCCAAAUAUGCCCUACUUAGUAUUUACUCUGUCUAACGCCAGAUGAUUAAUUACUCAUCAGUCGUAGAGGGCUGUCAGUAAAUGGGUUAAAGUGAACAUUUUACUAAAAAUUUACUGUGUCUUCUGCUGCUGUUGGAAGUUCCUUUUCCUUGAACAUUUUACUAAAAUUUACUGUGUCUUUUGCUGCUGUUGGAAGUUCCUUUUCCUUGAACAUUUUACUAAAAAUUUACUGUGUUAUUGUGCAUAAUUUCUA
Molecule: non-coding RNA, 330 nt
Organism: Paramuricea clavata
Lineage: Eukaryota; Metazoa; Cnidaria; Anthozoa; Malacalcyonacea; Plexauridae
Source: the annotation of a GenBank genome assembly